This 2149-nucleotide long non-coding RNA is filed under the name Brassica napus (rape). Its description in RNAcentral is "long non-coding RNA (BNAP_LNC006538)". Lineage: Eukaryota; Viridiplantae; Streptophyta; Magnoliopsida; Brassicales; Brassicaceae. The record is from RNAcentral.
AGUAAUAUCAUAAAACCAUAUAUAAUAGCUUCAUAGUACAACAUGUGAUAUCAUAAUCAUUAUUAAAGCCUCAAUUGUCAAACUUGAACCGGCGAGAGAUGAGAUUAAAAGAGGUUUUUAGAUCACUUCCACUUCUUGAACUUACCUCCUCCAAACAUCCCAUGCCUCCCAUGUUUAAACUUGCCUCCGUGAUGCUUGAACUUCCCGUGCUUGAACUUACCAUGACCAUAACCAUAGCCAUAGCCAUGACCAUGUCCAAAUCCGUGACCAUAUGCUGCGUGUCCGUAAGGACCGUGAGAGCUAUGAGCUAUGUGGUGAGCUCCGUAGGCAGCUGCAGCACCUGCAAUCAUACCCCCGAUUCCAGCUGCGUGCCCUGAAACAAGUUAAGGGAAAUUACAUUAAUAGAAGAAAAAAAACAAAAAGAGGCAAAAAAAGUUUUAGCACAUAAUUGAAUCUAACAAGUUGUCUUUAUGAUGCUCAAAACUCUAAUGAGAUGAUUGCUACAUGAGUACACUUUCAAAGGUACGAUCUUUGGAGAACUUAUGUAACUGAUUUCAAUCUCAUGGAUGCGGUUUUGCAAUCAGAAUACGAACUCUUGCAUACCAAUAACAGUCAAAUGACUAUGGAUUCCUGUUGGCUACCAUAUAAAGUACGGUCAUUUCAAAACAAUAUAUUAUUAGCCCAACUUGUUGCUAAAAUGAAAUGUAACAACCGAGAUGAUAAUAUCGUUUUCACAACUACCAUGUAUAAACAUUAUUUGUUUCAACUUACUUAUGUGACAUGAUAUCUACCACAUAUAUAGACAAAAUUCUACAUUUCAGUUUCUCUCUAAAGUGACAUUUACCACAUUCAUAGCUAAAUUUUUUUUCACAACUAGCAAGAGGAGAUAGGGUACCUGAGUGAUGAGGAGGAUAGCCAGCAGGAGGAUAACCAGCAUGACCAGGCGCAGGAGGAUAACCACCAUAACCAGGAGCAGGAGGGUAGGCACCAGGUGGAGGUGGGUAUGCACCCGGAGGAUAACCAGGUGCAGGUGGGUAGGCACCAGGUGGUGGGGGAGGGUAAGCUUGUUGUGGUGGGUAUCCAGCUGGUGGAUAAGCCCCAGGAAUGUAACCACCUUUAUUAAUCAAUAUGUAACCUCCUAUCCAAAAUUCUCGGACCAUUUACAAUUGGUUACGUUUUCCCCUUUUGUCAAUAUUGAGUCCAAUUUUUUUUGUUUUGAACUGAAUUUAGCCCAAACUAUUUUUAUGCUAUUUAAUAAUUUCAACCUUUUAAUUGGUGAAUAUAACACGUUACUUCAUGUAAUUAAUUUAUGCAGUUACAUUAUUGACAUAUGAUUCAAAAAACCAUAAAUAUAAAAAUUAAAUUUGUAAAAAAAUUUAAAACAAAAAAUAUAUCCGCCAGGCCGGUCAGAAUCUAGUUCUCAUUUAAACUAAUGCUUAAAAGACCACACAAAUCGUAUGCAUACAUAUACUCUGUUUCUUUUUCCUAUAACAAAUUAAUCAUCGUGUCUUUGUAUUAAUGGCGAUUUCUCUACAUGACACUUUUUGCAUUCUUGCUAAUUUUAAUUAGAGAUGUUGCUAUGAACAAACUUUACUUGAUUAAACCCAUUUUAAACUCACAUUUAUCCUUUUAAGGGUGUAUUCAAUCGUCCCACAAAAAAAAAAGGUGUAUUCAAUCAAAUAUAACAAUUUUUUUUUUCUCUCUCAAAUCACCCAAAAUCAUCUAGUUAUCAAGAUCAAAUAAUUUUAUGUUUGAUUGAAUACACCCACAAGGUGGGUAAGGAAUUCAGAAACUACCAUGUAGAUCAUCUUGAUCAUAUCAUAUCCAUGCCUUCUAAAACAGGUUAAGCAAUGCCAAAACCCAUAUAUACAAGGGCAUAAUAUAUGAAAUUAUAUUAAAAACAGAAUCAGUAAUAUCAUAAAACCAUAUAUAAUAGCUUCAUAGUACAACAUGUGAUAUCAUAAUCAUUAUUAAAGCCUCAAUUGUCAAACUUGAACCGGCGAGAGAUAAGAUUAAAAGAGGUUUUUAGAUCACUUCCACUUCUUGAACUUACCUCCUCCAAACAUCCCAUGCCUCCCAUGUUUAAACUUGCCUCCGUGAUGCUUGAACUUCCCGUGCUUGAACUUACCAUGACCAUGACCAUAACCAU